Molecule: ribosomal RNA, 414 nt
Filed under: uncultured bacterium
Lineage: Bacteria
Description: bacterial SSU rRNA
Rfam family: Bacterial small subunit ribosomal RNA
Source: RNAcentral
UGAGUAACGCGUAUCCAACCUUCCCCUUAGUAGGGCAUAGCCCGGCGAAAGUCGGAUUAAGUACCCGUAUGUUGUAUGACGAUGACAUCAGAAUUAUACCAAAGAUUAAUCGCUAAGGGAUGGGGAUGCGUCUGAUUAGGUUGUUGGCGGGGUAACGGCCCACCAAGCCUACGAUCAGUAGGGUUCUGAGAGGAAGGUCCCCCACACUGGUACUGAGACACGGACCAGACUCCUACGGGAGGCAGCAGUGAGGAAUAUUGGUCAAUGGACGAGAGUCUGAACCAGCCAAGUAGCGUGCAGGAAGACGGCCCUAUGGGUUGUAAACUGCUUUUAUCAGGGGAUAAAGUGGGAAACGUGUUUUCCAUUGCAGGUACCUGAUGAAUAAGGACCGGCUAAUUCCGUGCCAGCCGCUGC